This 468-nucleotide ribosomal RNA is filed under the name uncultured bacterium. RNAcentral's name for it is "partial 16S ribosomal RNA". It matches the Rfam family "Bacterial small subunit ribosomal RNA", at positions 28 to 507 of the family's 1533-position model. The record is from RNAcentral.
GACGAACGCUGGCGGCGUGCUUAACACAUGCAAGUCGAACGGAAAGGUCCUGCUUUUGUGGGGUGGUCGAGUGGCGAACGGGUGAGUAACACGUGAGUAACCUGUCACUGACUUUGGGAUAACUUCAGGAAACUGGGUCUAAUACCGGAUAGGAGCUCCCGCUGCAUGGUGGGGGUUGGAAAGUUUCGGCGGUUGGGGAUGGACUCGCGGCUCAUCAGCUUGUUGGGGUGGUAGUGGCUUACCAAGGCUUUGACGGGUAGCCGGCCUGGGUGGGUGACCGGCCACGUUGCGACGGAGAUGCGACCCAGACUCCUCCGGUAGGCGGCAGAGGCGAAGAUUGUACAAUAGACGGAGGCCAAGUGCGACAACGCCGCGUGGGGGGUGACGUCCUGCGGUUUGUAUGCCGCUUUCGUCUGUGCCGCGACGUGAGUGACGGUAAUGGGUAAAGAAGCACCGGCUAACUACGUG